Long non-coding RNA from Oncorhynchus tshawytscha (Chinook salmon), 478 nucleotides. The record is from Ensembl. Lineage: Eukaryota; Metazoa; Chordata; Actinopteri; Salmoniformes; Salmonidae.
AGUGGACUAUAUAUAGAGAAUAGGGCCCUGGUAAUGUAGUGGACUACAUAUGGGGAAUAGGGCCCUGGUAAGGUAGUGGACUAUAUAGGGCCCUGGUAAGGUAGUGGACUAUAUAUAGAGAAUAUGGCCCUGGUAAUGUAGUGGACUAUAUAUAGGGAAUAGGGCCCUGGUAAGGUAGUGGACUAUAUUUAGGGAAUAGGGCCCUGGUAAGGUAGUGGACUAUAUAGUUACUUUACUUGACAUUUAAAUGUAAAACUUGAGUCGGGCAUACCAACUGGGCUACAACAUAUGGUACCAAAUGGUUACUUUACCAUCUCUAAAUGGGUUGUAAAAUGGGCUAUCUGCUGUGAAUAUGGUCAGGGAUUGUCUCUGGGACUACUGGGUCAUGUAUGUGAGGGACCCAGAACGAACCUGAAUACUGUUUUAAUUAACUGUUAAAAGACGGCAACUAAUGAAAUGUGGGGAAGCUAAAAUAAAC